RNAcentral lists this ribosomal RNA (504 nucleotides) under uncultured bacterium. RNAcentral describes it as "partial 16S ribosomal RNA". It matches the Rfam family "Bacterial small subunit ribosomal RNA", at positions 29 to 523 of the family's 1533-position model. The record is from RNAcentral.
AUUGAACGCUGGCGGCAGGCCUAACACAUGCAAGUCGAGCGGUAGCACAGAGAGCUUGCUCUCGGGUGACGAGCGGCGGACGGGUGAGUAAUGUCUGGGAAACUGCCUGAUGGAGGGGGAUAACUACUGGAAACGGUAGCUAAUACCGCAUAACGUCGCAAGACCAAAGUGGGGGACCUGCGGGCCUCAUGCCAUCAGAUGUGCCCAGAUGGGAUUAGCUAGUAGGUGGGGUAACGGCUCACCUAGGCGACGAUCCCUAGCUGGUCUGAGAGGAUGACCAGCCACACUGGAACUGAGACACGGUCCAGACUCCUACGGGAGGCGGCAGUGGGGAAUAUUGCACAAUGGGCGCAAGCCUGAUGCAGCCAUGCCGCGUGUGUGAAGAAGGCCUUCGGGUUGUAAAGCACUUUCAGCGGGGAGGAAGGCGUUAAGGUUAAUAACCUUGGCGAUUGACGUUACCCGCAGAGGAAGCACCGGCUAACUCCGUGCCAGCCGCCGCGGUAA